UACGAAGGGGGCUAGCGUUGCUCGGAAUUACUGGGCGUAAAGCGCACGUAGGCGGCUUGUUAAGUCAGGGGUGAAAUCCUGGAGCUCAACUCCAGAACUGCCUUUGAUACUGGCGAGCUUGAGUUCGGGAGAGGUGAGUGGAACUGCGAGUGUAGAGGUGAAAUUCGUAGAUAUUCGCAAGAACACCAGUGGCGAAGGCGGCUCACUGGCACGAUACUGACGCUGAGGUGCGAAAGCGUGGGGAGCAAACAGG
RNAcentral lists this ribosomal RNA (253 nucleotides) under uncultured bacterium. Its description in RNAcentral is "partial 16S ribosomal RNA". It matches the Rfam family "Bacterial small subunit ribosomal RNA", at positions 524 to 776 of the family's 1533-position model. The record is from RNAcentral.